UCGUCUGGUUCUGGUGUUUUGGUGGAAACGGUCACGGAUCCCAGCAGAACCGUCUUUAUACAGGCGGUCCCUCGAUCAGAAGGAGCUCCUCUGUUUCUCCUCUCCCGCAUCUCCGCUCCUUCCUCUCCUGCGUCUGCGCAUUAUUCCUCUCCUGCGUCUGCGCAUUACUCCUCUCCUGCGUCUGCGCAUUACUCCUCUUCCGCGUCUGCGCUCCCUCCUCUCCCGCGUCUGCGCUCCCUCCUCUCCUGCGUCUGCGCUCCCUCCUCUCCUGCGUCUGCGCUCCCUCCUCUCCCGCGUCUGCGCUCCCUCCUCUCCUGCGUCUGCGCUCCCUCCUCUCCUGCGUCUGCGCUCCCUCCUCUCUCGCGUCUGCGCAUUACUCCUCUCCUGCGUCUGCGCUUACCUCCUCUCUCGCGUCUGCGCAUUACUCCUCUCCUGCGUCUGCGCAUUACUCCUCUCCUGCGUCUGCGCAUUACUCCUCUCCUGCGUCUGCGCAUUACUCCUCUCCUGCGUCUGCGCAUUACUCCUCUCCUGCGUCUGCGCAUUACUCCUCUCCUGCGUCUGCGCAUUACCCUCUCCUGCGUCUGCGCUUACCCUCUCCUGCGUCUGCGCUCCUUCCUCUCCUGCGUCUGCGCUCCCUCCUCUCCUGCGUCUGCGCUCCCUCCUCUCCCGCGUCUGCGCAUUACUCCUCUCUCGCGUCUGCGCAUUACUCCUCUCCUGCAUCUGCGCUCCUUCCUCUCCUGCGUCUGCGCUCCCUCCUCUCCUGCGUCUGCGCAUUACUCCUCUCCUGCGUCUGCGCUCCCUCCUCUCCUGCAUCUGCGCUCCUUCCUCUCCUGCGUCUGCGCAUUACUCCUCUCCUGCGUCUGCGCUCCUUCCUCUCCUGCGUCUGCGCAUUACUCCUCUCCUGCGUCUGCGCUCCCUCCUCUCCUGCAUCUGCGCUCCUUCCUCUCCUGCGUCUGCGCUCCCUCCUCUCCCGCGUCUGCGCAUUACUCCUCUCCCUGCGUCUGCGCUCCCUCCUCUCCUGCAUCUGCGCUCCUUCCUCUCCUGCGUCUGCGCUCCUUCCUCUCCCACGUCUGCGCUCCCUCCUCUCCCGCGUCUGCGCUCCUCCUCUCCCGCGUCUGCGCUCCCUCCACUCCCGCGUCUGCGCUUCCUCCACUCCUGCGUCUGCGCAGACUCCAGUCUCAAAUCUCAUCGCUCUACACGUGCAGUAACACGCUGAAACCAGCAGGGGUCGCCUCGUUUCAAACAGACUCAAAACCCUGA
RNAcentral lists this long non-coding RNA (1260 nucleotides) under Oryzias javanicus (javanese ricefish). Its description in RNAcentral is "lncRNA (ENSOJAG00000000643.1)". The record is from RNAcentral. Lineage: Eukaryota; Metazoa; Chordata; Actinopteri; Beloniformes; Adrianichthyidae.